UUACUUAUUUUGGACACCCAGUAUCUUGCAUCGUUGCAAUUGAAGCAAUUAAGAUCUACAAAGUUUUACUUCAUAUUUCAUUGGAAGUAGUAUCGUCAAACAUGGACUAAAUAGGACCUGAUGGAGUUGCAUCUUGUACAUGCUGAAAUGCAACGACAUAUACCUAAAUAUAUAUAUCUGUAUAUUCCGCAUGAUCAACACAAAGAUUAUAUAUUAUGACUAUUUGUUAGGAACCUGAUGCAGCACAUCGUUUGGAGAAAUGAGAUUAAACGCACAACUUCAAUAAUCGGUGCUAUAUACACCGUUUGGCAUCCUGAGAGAAUUUCAGCUUAUUAUUGUAUUUUAUCCCUUGUAAUAGUUAGUUACUAGAUGUAUACGUGUCAGCCUUUCAUUUGUAUGGUUUGUUAUUCUGCAUGAGUAUAUGAGAAGGGACUGUGGGGAGGGAGAUCCAUUCGGGAAUUUUUGGUUAUUGCUCUUUUUUGUAAUGGAGGUUGGGUCCCUCGAAGAACCCGUAGCUCUAAAUCAGUGGCUCUUUUGAGCUUUCUAUCAAACACUUCCCGUGCAUUCCCGUUCCUUCUUCAUACAAUAUUCAUUUGUAAUCCAUUUCACUUCCUGUUUACAUUCCAUUGUCACAACAACAUCAUUCCAAUUCACAGUAGCAUUUACAAUGGUCAUUUACAACAGGGUCCUAACAAUUGGUAUCUAGAGCCACCAAUUCUUCAUGGCCAUGAUAUGAUUGAAUAAACAACAAUUAUUAUUGCUAGAAAAAAUUCUGGACAAAUUGGAGCAUAUGAGCAAAAUACUUGAUGGAAUGCAUCAUAAUUGCAAGAAAAUGCAGAAAUCUCUCGCGGACAAAGAAAAUGCAACAAAGGUGGAAGAAAAUCGUAACGUUUUCAAGCAUCAAAUGAGGGAAUCUCUCAUGGAAUGGCGAGACAAGGAAGACACCGAAGAGAACUUGGGAGAUACGGAUUCAACUGAAGAAACACAACAAUCAAUAGUGCCUGAAGAAGAUAAAACAAUGGAUGAUGACCAAACUGCGCAGGAAGAAAUAGAAAGUGCAGUAGACGUGAACGAGCCUGUGGCGGUGUCCACAUAAGAGUGCUUGGUUUGGGAAGACCAAGCUGCGGAGGAGGGCAUGAAAAGGGAAGCAGAGCUGGAGGAGCUUGUUGCGAUGCCCACGGAAGCUGUUUCAAAAGAAAUAUCUCUUCCAUCUAUUCUUAGAAGUCCAGAACCGAAAUCAAAUUCUCAAACUUUAGAAGAUCGAACAUCGCGGCCUCUUCCUAGUAGGGAAAUUAUUUUGUGUGAAACCAAGGGUGAUGCUCAUCGAGAUGGAGAUUACCAUCGAGAUCUUCCUGUAGGGAGUGUUGCUGGAAGUACUCAUGUUGCUCGUGCUCGAUUGUGGAUUUUCAAUCUAGGGAUUUGCACCUGCUAUUUUUCCAAAAGUGAGGUUCAUCCACUGUUUCAAGUGGGAGCCCUUAACCGAACCAUAGUACUCUCCCUCAAAACCAAAGAAGAAGUGAACAACAGAAGCGGCCAGGUCUCCACCAGGAACUCUACCCACCGCCUUGUGCCUCCAAGGAUCUUGUUUGGCGAUUUGAUAUCUAUAGAAAGCUGGAAAAGCACAGAGGCUAUGUGAACACUGUAAGUUUCAAUGCAGAUGGUGACAUUAUGGUUUCAGGAUCUGAUGAUAGGCUGAUAUACUCUGGGAUUGGAAGAUUGGGCGUGUCAAGCUUUUGUUUCAUUUAGACAGGCAGGUGCGACUUGUUGAGAUUUCGCAUAUAUAUGGGGGUUCUUGGAAUGCUAUUCAUGGUCUGAAACUUUUUACCAAAAUUAUUGCUUGGAAUUGUAGGGUUAAGAAAUUUUUUGCACCUUAUGCUUGAUUAUUUGCCACUUAAAGUGGUUUGUGAGCCUUUUGAUAGAGGAAGGGAAAGAACACUUGUGGAAAUAAAUUGUGAUGACCAGGAUACUGUGGAUGAACUUGGAAUGGGUUCUAAUUUUGGGGGGGGGGGAAGGUUAGGGUUCUUAAUUGGGGGAGAAUUUUUAGUUGAAGACCUUUUGAUAAUCUUGGAUAAGAUAUUUUCAUCAGUUAAUGGUAAAUUAGACAAAGGUUCUGAAGAGGACAUUGAAUCAAGUCUAAGUUCACCUCGGGGAGCCUUUAUUUCAGCUACGGUAGUUUCAAUGUUCCUUUAUUUGAGAUCUUACUUGCCUACCAUUGAUUUGAGUCUAAGAGGUUGUCUUGCUGAACAUUGUAGUCCAGAUGAUGUUGAUUCCUGCAAUGGUAAUCAAAACCUAAGAGGUCUUGCUAUAGUAACGUGUUGCCAUCAUCUUGUGCGUGAUAAAGUAACCUUGAAGAUUCUGAUUGAUAGUGAAAAUAUGGUGGAGAUACUGACAAUACUCUGGUUCACAGCAAGCAUGGUGGAAGUGCAGGCUUGUAGAAUUAGUGGGUUGGGGGUGCAAAUAAUUUUUCUGAAAAGUACAUGGACCAUUAAUAAAAGGCAACUUCCUCAAAGACUAUCAUUUGCUCAUUCAAUGAUUUUCCGCUUUGAUUCUUCUUGUUUGAUGUUAGCAAAUGCGCAAGUGGUUAAAAGUGUCAGUAAUGGUCAUCUGUUGCAGCUCAUAUAUUUGGCACUGAGGAACCUUGCCACUGUUUUUCUUCAACAAGGUUCUGCACAUUAUGAGGAUGCCUUACGUUGUUACCUUCAAGUUGUAGAGAUUAAUACCAUAGAUUCUAUUGUCUGGAACUAGCUAGGAACAAUAUCACGCUCAAUGGAAUUGUUUAGUAUAUCGCGAUGGGCUUUUGAGCAAGGGCCUUCCUGUAGGCCUUAUAAUUGGAACGACAUGGAGAAACUAUUGGAAGUUAAUGAUUUCUCUGUAUUUUAUUGUUCAAGUUUGAGACCAAAUGGAAAAGCUAUGAUUGAGUCGAGAUUCAGGGGGCUUCUCAACCACUCCAUGUCACUUUUGAAAAAGAAAUGGCUAUUGUGUAUACUUGAUGAUUUUACCCCAAAGCAACUUUCACAUAAUGUGACUUGGGGGUUGAGCUUGUUAUAUGCUAUGGAACACAAGGCUGACCAAGCGUUGGUUGCUACUUAGGGUGAGCUAGCACAUGCAUUGCGGUUCUUAGCUUCUGUUGUAUCUCAAGGUUUUUUAGCUUUUGAUGACAUUCUAGAACUGCAUAAAAAAUUCUGUGAAGGCACUCCUUGAUGAGCUGAAACUUGUGGGAGCACCUUGCCAUCUUGGGUCCACCAUCACUGAGGUGGACAUUUUCAGAGAUGCAGGCGUUAUUAUGGUAAACUACAUUGAUGGAAUGGUUGGUCUUUCGGUAGAAGAAAGUAGUUGGGAAGCUUCUAUCCCUUUACACACAUCUUGAGGACAAGGUUCUUUCAAGGGAGCAGAUUGUUAGGAACCUGAUGCAGUGCACCGUUUAGAGAAAUGAGAUUAAGUGCACAGCUUCAAUAAUCGGUGCUAUACGCACCGUUUGGCAUCCUGAGAGAAUUUCAGCUUAUUAUUGUAUUUUGUCUCCUUGCAAUAGUUAGUUACUAGAUGUAUACGUGUCAGCCUUUUAUUUGUAUAGUUUGUUAUUUUGCAUGAGCAUAUGAGAAGGGAUUGUGGGGAGGGAGAUUCAUUCGAGAAUAUUUGGUUAUUGCCCUUUUCUGUAAUGGAGGUUGGGUCCCUCGAAGAACCCGUAGCUCUGAAUCAGUGGCUUUUUGGAGCUUUCUAUCAAACACUUCCCAAGCAUUCCCAUUCCUUCUUCAUACAACAUUCAUUUGUAAUCCAUUUCACUUCUUGUUUACAUUCCAUUGUCACAACAACAUCAUUCCAAUUCACAGUAGCAUUUACAACAGGGUCCUAACACUAUCAUUGAGUGAAAGCUGUCUAACUUCUUUGUAGAGAAGGAAAUACCGCAGAUCAAGAAAAGAGCAUUUCCCUGAAAUUUCAAGAUGAUUUAAAAGCAUUCGAAGACAACGCACUGGCCGGCCGACCCCAUAAUUGGGGAGAUUCGGGAAACUGGAUUGAUUUUUGGAAAGAAGUUUGCAGACAACAAGACGCCUAAUGAUCCAUUCCCUCCUGAAUGGGGCAAGUUCAAUCUUAAUUUUGUUUCUUCAAGGUUACUGUAUGAAUAUAUUUAUUUACUGAGGGGAAAAAUUUGUUGUUAGAUUACCUAUAAUUUCUUUCUUAAACUAGAUCAAAACAUCUUGUAGACCUAGGUUUUUUCUUCUGAAUCUUUUCUAUAUCUGAAUCUUA
Molecule: long non-coding RNA, 4242 nt
Organism: Carya illinoinensis
Lineage: Eukaryota; Viridiplantae; Streptophyta; Magnoliopsida; Fagales; Juglandaceae
Exons: 2
Source: RefSeq, a predicted model, not a curated record